RNAcentral lists this transfer RNA (30 nucleotides) under Lycianthes rantonnetii. RNAcentral describes it as "Lycianthes rantonnei partial tRNA-Phe". The record is from RNAcentral. Lineage: Eukaryota; Viridiplantae; Streptophyta; Magnoliopsida; Solanales; Solanaceae.
AGCCGGGAUAGCUCAGUGGAGAGCAGAGGA